Fundulus heteroclitus (mummichog) is the source of this 145-nucleotide long non-coding RNA. RefSeq lists it as uncharacterized. The record is from RefSeq and is a predicted model, not a curated record. The transcript is spliced from 3 exons. Lineage: Eukaryota; Metazoa; Chordata; Actinopteri; Cyprinodontiformes; Fundulidae.
GGACAAUACAGACUUCCUGCCAGUGGCCAGCAGACAGAACAGUCCAUGGUGAGGGUGUGUUGGAUCCAAGCCUGCCAGUCUGCGACAUUGCAGCCAAGAAGAGCAAACAGAGAUGCAGCUGCAGUGUUGCUGAUCUGGAGUGAUG